CAGAUUUCUUCUCCCUCGUUCUCCCUCUCUCUCUCUCCCUUUCCUUUCUCUGUGAUCUCUCUCACCCGUCUGUAUUUUCUUCUCCCCAACAACCUAGACUACCCCCAGCAUCAGUGGCAACCUAGGCCCCACUCCCACCCCCAGCCGAACCCAACCCACCCCUCUCUCUGCAAAUUCAAAAACCAACAAAUUAAAAGAAAAAAAAUUCAUUGUUUUUGUUGUUUUGUACUCGAAGGUCUGCAACCAAAUUUGAUGGCUUCCGAAUUCAGCAAGAUAAAGAUGGUGGGUUGUAGCUGCUGGAGGUUCGACAGAAAGAGAGGCCAGGGCUCAUUUGGGUUGUCGACGACUGUGCGGAGGGUUGGGGCUGCUGGGUUUAAGGGCUAGGGGUGGGAGUAGGGCUUGGGUUGCGGCUGGAAGUGGGGGUGGUCUGAGUUUUAUACAGCCCAUGUUUCUAAAAUUGGUGUAACAGAUUGGCAUGCACAGAAAGAUUAAUUGAAUCUUUGUUUUGUCUUGCUAAAAGUGGAAGAUGUUGGAUUGAGGCACAGAUGUGGCAAAGGUUGAAGUUGGUGGGGUAACGAAUUCAGCACAGAAUUUCAGGGGUGGAACUUGGGUCUGCGUGAGAAGGGCAGUUGUUGUGGUUGUGGUGAUGGCGACUGGGAAGGGAUAAUGGGGUUAGGGAGGGGAAUUGGGGAUUUUUUUUGUUUUAAAGAAUUAUUUUUAUUUUUAAUAGUUAAAUUAAGAAUUUUAAAAGACAAUUUUUAAUUUUUUUUUUCUU
RNAcentral lists this long non-coding RNA (775 nucleotides) under Prunus dulcis (almond). RNAcentral describes it as "sRNA ncRNA". Lineage: Eukaryota; Viridiplantae; Streptophyta; Magnoliopsida; Rosales; Rosaceae. The record is from RNAcentral.